GGACGGGCUUCUGGAGAGACCUUGAGAAUUUUUAAUUCUCACCUUUUUAAAAGGACGGCGCCGAAGGGGCAAGGCUAAUAAGUACAAGCUCAAUCUCUCAGGCAAAAGGACAGAAGGUAAGUA
RNAcentral lists this non-coding RNA (123 nucleotides) under Streptococcus urinalis. RNAcentral describes it as "Glycine sequence". It matches the Rfam family "Glycine riboswitch aptamer". Rfam says of the family: This family represents the bacterial glycine riboswitch. Glycine riboswitches usually consist of two metabolite-binding aptamers domains with similar structures in tandem. The aptamers cooperatively bind glycine to regulate the expression of downstream genes. The record is from RNAcentral. RNAcentral also lists the same sequence under 1 other name. Lineage: Bacteria; Bacillati; Bacillota; Bacilli; Lactobacillales; Streptococcaceae.